ACCUGGAGGCGAUUCUCGCA
Molecule: small nuclear RNA, 20 nt
Filed under: Arabidopsis thaliana (thale cress)
Lineage: Eukaryota; Viridiplantae; Streptophyta; Magnoliopsida; Brassicales; Brassicaceae
Description: snRNA_13850
Source: RNAcentral